GGGGCUUCCAAGGACCAGAUGUGUUCGGUGGAGAGAGCGCGGAAGGCAGCGAUGGAUAAAGCAGCGUUAUCAGGAGGAGCGGAAUUCUCAGAGCCAGAUGGAGGGACAGAAUUGUCAAAAGGAUUGGUAUUAUUGUUGUUAUUAGUUGUGGUGUUGGAAUUUUGCUUGCGGACUUUGGAGGAAGCGAGAAAGGAGAGAAGGGAGGCGAGGGUGAAAAAGAGGAGAGGAGCGGCAGAGGAGGAAGAGAGGAGAGAGGAAGGAGAGGGAGAGGAAAGGGAAGGAGAGGAAACAGAGGGAGUGGAAGGGGAGGAAACAAGGGAGGUUGUUGGGUCUAAGGUGUUGUGGAGGUGGAGGAGAUUAGAUAGCAUUAGCAAGAAAGAUUCAUCCAUGGCUUCAGAGAUUAAUUUUUGUUGGGGGGUUUUUCAGGGAAGGAGGGAGAGAGCUCGAUGAAGGAAAUUUUCAGUGGAAGUGGGCAACUCGGGGUUCCGAGUUUCUGAGAAGUGGGAUC
This 508-nucleotide unclassified non-coding RNA is filed under the name Hevea brasiliensis (rubber tree). Lineage: Eukaryota; Viridiplantae; Streptophyta; Magnoliopsida; Malpighiales; Euphorbiaceae. The record is from RNAcentral.